Molecule: ribosomal RNA, 484 nt
Filed under: uncultured bacterium
Lineage: Bacteria
Description: partial 16S ribosomal RNA
Rfam family: Bacterial small subunit ribosomal RNA
Source: RNAcentral
GACGUACGCUGGCGGCGUGCUUAACACAUGCAAGUCGAACGAUGAACCCGGAGCUUGCUCCGGUGGAUUAGUGGCGAACGGGCGAGUAACACGUGGGCAACCUGCCCCAAACUCUGGGAUAACUCCUCGAAAGAGGUGCUAAUACCGGAUACGAACUAGACAGACAUCUGUACUAGUUGGAAAGUUUUUCGGUUUGGGAUGGGCCCGCGGCCUAUCAGCUUGUUGGUGAGGUAACGGCUCACCAAGGCUACGACGGGUAACCGGCCUGAGAGGGCGACCGGUCACACUGGGACUGAGACACGGCCCAGACUCCUACGGGAGGCAGCAGUGGGGAAUAUUGCGCAAUGGGCGAAAGCCUGACGCAGCGACGCCGCGUGAGGGAUGAAGGUCUUCGGAUCGUAAACCUCUUUCAGUAGGGACGAAGCGAAAGUGACGGUACCUAAAGAAGAAGCACCGGCUAACUACGUGCCAGCCGCCGCAGUAA